Molecule: ribosomal RNA, 497 nt
Filed under: uncultured bacterium
Lineage: Bacteria
Description: partial 16S ribosomal RNA
Rfam family: Bacterial small subunit ribosomal RNA
Source: RNAcentral
GAUGAACGCUGGCGGCGUGCCUAAUACAUGCAAGUCGAGCGAACAGAUGAGGAGCUUGCUCCUCUGACGUUAGCGGCGGACGGGUGAGUCACACGUGGAUAACCUACCUAUAAGACUGGGAUAACUUCGGGAAACCGGCGCUAAUACCGGAUAAUAUAUUGAACCGCAUGGGUCAAUAGUGAAAGACGGUUUUGCUGUCACUUAUAGAGGGAUCCCGGCCGCAUGGGCUGGUUGGUGAGGUAACGGCUUACCAAGGCGACGAUGCGUAGACGAACGGAGAGACUGGUCGGCCACACUGGAAGUUGGACACGGUCAAGGGGACUGAGGGACGCAGCAGACGGGAACCGUAGGCAGUAGGCGAAAGCAUGACGGAACAAGGGCGAGUGUGAGGUGACAGUCUUCCGUUCGUGAAGCUCUGUUAUGAGGGAAAAACCACUGUGUAAGGAAAUAUGCCCGGCUUGACGGUAACUGAUAAGAAAGCACCGGCUAACUACGUG